AUACGUAGGGAGCGAGCGUUGUCCGGAAUUACUGGGUGUAAAGGGAGCGUAGGCGGGAGUGCAAGUCAGAUGUGAAAUACAUGGGCUCAACCCAUGGGCUGCAUUUGAAACUGCAUUUCUUGAGUGACGUAGAGGGAAGCGGAAUUCCUGGUGUAGCGGUGAAAUGCGUAGAUAUCAGGAGGAACACCGGUGGCGAAGGCGGCUUACUGGGCUUUUACUGACGCUGAGGCUCGAAAGCGUGGGGAGCAAACAGGAUUAGAUACCCUGGUAGUCCACGCUGUAAACGAUGAUUACUAGGUGUGGGGGGACUGACCCCUUCCGUGCCGCAGUUAACACAAUAAGUAAUCCACCUGGGGAGUACGGCCGCAAGGUUGAAACUUAAAGGAAUUGACGGGG
This 396-nucleotide ribosomal RNA is filed under the name uncultured bacterium. RNAcentral's name for it is "partial 16S ribosomal RNA". It matches the Rfam family "Bacterial small subunit ribosomal RNA", at positions 523 to 918 of the family's 1533-position model. The record is from RNAcentral.